RNAcentral lists this long non-coding RNA (203 nucleotides) under Mytilus galloprovincialis (Mediterranean mussel). The record is from RNAcentral. Lineage: Eukaryota; Metazoa; Mollusca; Bivalvia; Mytilida; Mytilidae.
ACACACAGAAACGGACUAAGCAUCAGACAAAAUCCCACGAGAAUAACAAAUAUAACAUCAAAACCAAAAACAUGAAUUUGGGAUAGACAAGUACCGUGACACGUCUUGUCGCAAUGUGAAUAUACACUAAAGAUAAGAGAAAACAAACGACGCAACGUUAAAAUGUAACACACACUAAAACGAACAAUAAUAUAAUAUUGGCC